UAUUCCCGGGGAACUAAGCAUAUCAAUAAGCGGAGGAAAAGAAACCAAUAGGGAUUGCCUUAGUAACGGCGAGUGAAGCGGCAAAAGCUCAAAUUUGAAAUCUGACAUCUAUGGUGUUCGAGUUGUACUUUGGAGAGACAUCUUUUGGAGGGGCCCAGCUUAUGUGCCUUGGAACAGGACGUCAUAGAGGGUGAGAAUCCCGUUCUUGGCUGGAUGUUCCCUCCUGUAUGUAGUGUCUUCUACGAGUCGAGUUGUUUGGGAAUGCAGCUCAAAAUGGGUGGUAAAUUUCAUCUAAAGCUAAAUAUUGGCGAGAGACCGAUAGCGCACAAGUAGAGUGAUCGAAAGAUGAAAAGCACUUUGAAAAUAGAGUCAAACAGUACGUGAAAUUGUUGAAAGGGAAGCGCUUGAGACCAGAGUCAGCCUUUGGCAAACAACUACUCUUCUGGGUGGUGCACUUGUUAUUGGUUGGGCCAGCAUCGGUUGGGACGGCAGGAUAAAGACCCAGGGAAUGUGACUCCUCUAUGGAGUGUUAUAGCCCCAGGUGGCAUGCUGUCUGCCCCGACCGUGGACCGCGCCUCGGCUCGGAUGCUGGCUUAAUGGUCUUCAGCGACCCGUCUUGAAACACGGACCAAGGAGUCUAACGUCUAUGCGAGUGUUUGGGCUCUAAACCCUUACGCGUAAUGAAAGUAAACGGAGGUGGGAAUCCUGAAAGGGGUGCACCAUCGACCGAUCCUGAUGUCUUCGGAUGGAUUUGAGUAGGAGCAUAGCUGUUGGGACCCGAAAGAUGGUGAACUAUGCCUGAAUAGGGUGAAGCCAGAGGAAACUCUGGUGGAGGCUCGCAGCGGUUCUGACGUGCAAAUCGAUCGUCAAAUUUGGGUAUAGGGGCGAAAGACUAAUCGAACCAUCUAGUAGCUGGUUCCUGCCGAGCCUCCCCUCUCGAGA
RNAcentral lists this ribosomal RNA (942 nucleotides) under Tuber shii. Its description in RNAcentral is "eukaryotic LSU rRNA". It matches the Rfam family "Eukaryotic large subunit ribosomal RNA", at positions 24 to 980 of the family's 3401-position model. The record is from RNAcentral. Lineage: Eukaryota; Fungi; Ascomycota; Pezizomycetes; Pezizales; Tuberaceae.